AUGGCUGUUUGGACUGAAAGUUGGGACUUAAACCAAAGAAAAGAGAAAAAAAAUAGAGUUAGAGCAGAGCCAGAUGUGUCAUCUUCUGAUAAAGAAACUAUGGCCCUUACUCAGGAGAUUAAUCUUCAAACAGCUGGUGUGACAAACCAAGUCCCACCAUUGUAUGAGCCACAGAUAAUAGCUUCACUGACACAGGAGAGAGAGUCUAGGCUGGUACAAGAAGUUGUGCAAGGGCCCCUGCCUCAGAGUGCUUUCAUACAGGAGCAAUCCCUCUCACAGCCUCCAGUUCAACAUAGCACAACAACCAAAGGAGGAGAUGUUCACAGGAAAAGAGAAGUGAUAUCACUUGCCAGACUUAGGGCUGCAGCAAAGAGAAGGGAAAUAGCAGAUCAAGCCAAGUAUGAUGCAGCAAUGGCAAAAUUAAAGGAGGAGGAAGAGAAAAUUAAUUUAUCCGCUCAAAGGAGGAAAGAUGAACUACUUGCCAAGAAAAUGCUACCGAGGAGAGAAAGAAAGCUGUACUAG
RNAcentral lists this ribosomal RNA (522 nucleotides) under Triticum aestivum (bread wheat). RNAcentral's name for it is "partial small subunit ribosomal RNA". The record is from RNAcentral. Lineage: Eukaryota; Viridiplantae; Streptophyta; Magnoliopsida; Poales; Poaceae.